GAUGAACGCUGGCGGCGUGCCUAAUACAUGCAAGUCGAGCGAACAGACGAGGAGCUUGCUCCUCUGACGUUAGCGGCGGACGGGUGAGUAACACGUGGAUAACCUACCUAUAAUACUGGUAUAACUUCGGGAAACCGGAUCUAAUACCGUAUAAUAUAUUGAACCGCAUUGUUCAAUAGUGAAAGACGGUUUUGCUGUCACUUCUAGAUGGAUCCGCGCCGCAUUAGCUAGUUGGUAAGGUCACGGCUUAUCAAGGCUACGAUGCGUAGCCGACGUGAGAGGGUGAUAGGCCACCCGGGAGCUGGACCAGGGACCAUAGUACUGCGGGAGGCAGCAGUAGGGUACGUGCCGCAAUAGGCGAAAACCUGACGGAGCAGGCGCGCGUGAGAUGUAAAGGUCUUCGGUUCGUGAAGCUCUGUUAUGAGGGAUGAACAAAUGUGUAAGGAGAUGUGCAGUUCUUGACGGUAACUGAUCAGAAAGCCACGGCUAACUACGUG
RNAcentral lists this ribosomal RNA (497 nucleotides) under uncultured bacterium. Its description in RNAcentral is "partial 16S ribosomal RNA". It matches the Rfam family "Bacterial small subunit ribosomal RNA", at positions 28 to 507 of the family's 1533-position model. The record is from RNAcentral.